RNAcentral lists this ribosomal RNA (292 nucleotides) under uncultured Planctomycetota bacterium. Its description in RNAcentral is "uncultured planctomycete partial 16S ribosomal RNA". Lineage: Bacteria; Pseudomonadati; Planctomycetota. The record is from RNAcentral.
GGACUACUGGGGUUUCUAAUCCCGUUUGCUCCCCUGGCUUUCGCGCCUCAGCGUCAGAAGAGGUCCAGCACGCCGCUUUCGCCACCGGCGUUCCUUCCGAUAUCUACGCAUUUCACCGCUCCACCGGAAGUUCCGCAUGCCCCUACCUCCCUCAAGACCACCAGUAUCCCAGGCAAUUUUCCGGUUGAGCCGAAAGAUUUCACCCCGGACUUGGUGACCCGCCUACGCGCCCUUUAAGCCCAGUGAAUCCGAACAACGUUCGCACGGUUCGUCUUACCGCGGCUGCUGGCAC